UAUUUCUUUUGUUUUUCAAAUUACAAUAAAAAAUGUUGGAUUGGUAUGAAGAAGUUGAAGAAUUUUUAGAGUUUAUUUCUUAUAUUGUAGAAGAAAAUCGCCCGGAAAGUAUACGAAAGCCAUGUGAUAAAAUUAUAUCAAAUCCAAUGGAAUUUUACAAUAUUGAAUUUCAUCAGCUGCAAUAACUUAAACAACAAAGAUUUUAUGCUACUUUAUAGGAAUAUAACCAGUUUUUAUGAAGUUGCCCAUUUCAAAUUACAGCUCUUUCAUGUUCUAGAAGCGAGAUUAUGAAUGUUGUUGGUGAACAACAAGGUCAAGUUAUGUUGGCUUAAUAUUUGAUCUAAGUGCAUUAAGAGGUAUCAUGAGAAAGAGUGAAAUUCCAGGAUUAUUAAUUGGCAAUAGUAGAUACGCAUGCAAAUACUAUCUAUUUACUUCAGUAUUACAGCCAGGUGCCAUCUGUGAGAGUCCACAACUCAAGUCCAUACAACAGUACACUAAAGAUAUAACAUCAUAGUAACCUGAUUUUUAUGGGUAUCGACAAAUCAUGACAUUUGAAUAACUUAGCCAUUGCUUGAAAUGUAGAUCUUGCUUUCUCUAUCCUACAUUUGAUUUCUAUGGAAUGAUCCCAAUCUUCAUUGACGUUCGUACCAAGGUAGGUGUAUGUAUUUACUCUUUCUAUUUGUUGACUGUUCACACUGAUUCGUCUAAAUUGCUGUUCCUUCUUAGAGAUCAUCAUACAUUCUGUUUUCUUAGUGUUUAGUGAAAGUCUGCAUCACUGAUUGACUUCUGCGAUUCUGUUCAAUAAAUAUGCACCAGAAAUAAACAAACCAAGACACUUAAAUGUUACGAGGAGUACUCCCUAAUCAUGAUUUACACAAAAAAUAUAUAAACCUUGUAAAUCAGGAUUUGGGAUUUACAAUGUACUUAUAUAAAUUGUAAAUUAUUAUUUAGGAGUGCACCUCGUAACAUUCAAUGUUUCUUGGUUUAUUUAUUUCUAAUGCAUCUUUAUUGUGAUUGUAGUAAGUAUAAUAUAUAGGUAUAUAUGUAUAUCUUUUUAGGUAAUGAUCAAGAAAAUAGAUACAAUAGUGCACAUGUAAGAACAAGAAAUGUUGCCGAAAAGCUAUUUGGAACCUGGAAAAAACAGUUUCCAUGUCUUCAAAAGUUCUACAAACCGAAUUAAAUACAUACCUUGCAAUAUGUGCUACAACAGUACCUUAUAAGUUAUAAUCUGGGUGCAAGAGAAAAUCAUGAUGGUGAUGAUGAUUUUGUAGAAAAUCUUGAUUUGUCGGUAAAUGGAAAUGUUAAUGAUGUGGAACAAUGUUUAAAUUUUAGGAGGCAUUUUUAUCGACAAUAUUUUGCAUGAGAAUGAGAAUACAUUAUUGAAUACUUGUAAUAUAUUAAAUGUUUUUUUUUUAAUAUUUAAUGGGUCGUCUUUCUUUGGGAUUUUUUGCCUAUUAUUUCUCAAAUAUCAUGAUCAUUGGCUUGACAACUCUUUUUGUUUGAGUUUUGGUCCCUUCAGGAAUACUUACUUCUCCAUUCUAAUCUAUUUGAAGAUUUUGAUUUUUUGUUCUUCCAAUUUUUUAUUUUUAAAAUUUCAAUGUCUUAUCCUAUUUGUUCCUUGCCUAUAUGUAAUCUUUGGUCUUCCUCCUGUUAA
This 1654-nucleotide unclassified non-coding RNA is filed under the name Diabrotica virgifera virgifera (western corn rootworm). RNAcentral's name for it is "putative nuclease HARBI1". Lineage: Eukaryota; Metazoa; Arthropoda; Insecta; Coleoptera; Chrysomelidae. The record is from RNAcentral.